RNAcentral lists this ribosomal RNA (492 nucleotides) under uncultured bacterium. RNAcentral describes it as "bacterial SSU rRNA". It matches the Rfam family "Bacterial small subunit ribosomal RNA", at positions 8 to 526 of the family's 1533-position model. The record is from RNAcentral.
AGAGUUUGAUCCUGGCUCAGGACGAACGCUGGCGGCAGGCUUAACACAUGCAAGUCGAGCGCCCCGCAAGGGGAGCGGCAGACGGGAGAGUAACACGUGGGAACGUACCUUUCAGUUCGGAACAACCAAGGGAAACUUUGGCUAAUACCGAAUACGCCCGUAAGGGGAAAGAUUUAUCGCUGAAAGAUCGGCCCGCGUCUGAUUAGCUAGUUGGCAGGGUAACGGCCUACCAAGGCGACGAUCCGUAGCCGGCCUGAGAGGGCGGACGGCCACACUGGCACUGACAUACAGGCCAGACUCCUACGGGAGGCAGCAGUCGGGAAUUUUGGGCAAUGGGCGAAAGCCUGACCCAGCAACGCCGCGUGAAGGAUGAAGCUUUUCGGAGUGUAAACUUCAUAAGAAUGGGACGAAUAAGGAGGGGUUAACACCCCCUUUGAUGACGGUACCAUUUGUAAGCUCCGGCUAACUCCGUGCCAGCAGCGGCGGUAAUAC